Molecule: unclassified non-coding RNA, 353 nt
Filed under: soil metagenome
Description: partial contains 5.8S ribosomal RNA, internal transcribed spacer 2, and large subunit ribosomal RNA
Rfam family: 5.8S ribosomal RNA (bases 1-121)
Source: RNAcentral
GAUGAAGAACGCAGCGAAAUGCGAUAAGUAAUGCGAAUUGCAGAAUUUCCGUGAGUCAUCGAAUCUUUGAACGCACAUUGCGCCCAUUGGCAUUCCGAUGGGCAUGCCUGUUCGAGCGUCAUUACAACCCUCAGGCCCCCGGGCCUGGCGUUGGGGAUCGGCGGAAGCCCCCUGCGGGCACAACGCCGUCCCCCAAAUACAGUGGCGGUCCCGCCGCAGCUUCCAUUGCGUAGUAGCUAACACCUCGCAACUGGAGAGCGGCGCGGCCACGCCGUAAAACACCCAACUUCUGAAUGUUGACCUCGAAUCAGGUAGGAAUACCCGCUGAACUUAAGCAUAUCAUAAGCGGAGGA